ACUUAUUUAGUAUAAUAGUAUAUUUGGCUUCCAACCAAAAGGUCUGGGUUCCAGAUUAAGUA
Molecule: transfer RNA, 62 nt
Filed under: Ephemerella sp. MT-2014
Lineage: Eukaryota; Metazoa; Arthropoda; Insecta; Ephemeroptera; Ephemerellidae
Description: tRNA-Gly
Rfam family: tRNA
About the family: Transfer RNA (tRNA) molecules are approximately 80 nucleotides in length. Their secondary structure includes four short double-helical elements and three loops (D, anti-codon, and T loops).
Source: RNAcentral